This 681-nucleotide ribosomal RNA is filed under the name Triticum aestivum (bread wheat). Its description in RNAcentral is "partial small subunit ribosomal RNA". Lineage: Eukaryota; Viridiplantae; Streptophyta; Magnoliopsida; Poales; Poaceae. The record is from RNAcentral.
AUGUGUGUAUGUGGCUCUUUAACCAUCAUGUUCUCUGGACUUGGGUUAUGCUUAGGAUGUACUUUUAGGCCUUCAAUGCCUCCUGGCUGUGGACCGGGUCGCGGUCGUGCCGCUGCUGAUGGCCCUGCCCGUGGAAGCGGGCGCUGGCAUGCCGUUGCUGAUGGCCCUGCCCGUGGAAGCGGGCGAGGGCGUGCCGGUGCUGAUGGCCCUUCCCGUGGAAGCGGGCGAGGGCGUGCCGCUGCUGAUGGCCCUGCCCGUGGAAGGGGGCAUGGGCGUGCCGCUGCUGAUGGUCCUACCCGUGGAAGGGGGCGUGGGCGUGCCGCUGCUGCUGAUGGUCCUUCCCGUGGAAGGGGGAGAGGGCGUGCUGCUGUUGGUGGCCCUGCCCAUGGAAGGGGGCGUGGGCGUAGUAGGGUUGGUGGCACACUUCCUUCUCCUCCUAGAAUUCAUCUUGCUCCUCCUGUCAUUCGGCCGCGUUAUGUGCCCCGUGCCCCACCUGGGCUCGAGAAUCGCAAACGUAAACGAGAUGGUUGGUUACCCUAUGUGAGUGAGGUUGAGGCAACGUUGAACCGCAGGAAGCGCAAGGCAAUUAGAAAGCUGCGCCAUUCUGGAUUUGAAGGUCCAUUCAUUUUCCAAUUGCUUAGCUCAGUCUUAGACCCACCUGUACUUAUUAGUUUUGUCUGA